Molecule: long non-coding RNA, 234 nt
Filed under: Oryza brachyantha (malo sina)
Lineage: Eukaryota; Viridiplantae; Streptophyta; Magnoliopsida; Poales; Poaceae
Description: long non-coding RNA (OBRA_LNC003609)
Source: RNAcentral
UAAUCUCUAACGGCUUAUAUGGAAAUGCUCUCGAUUCCAGAAGCUUUUAAUUUUCUUCGUUUGUCUCCAUUUCCCUCCAUUAAUUACCACAGACUAUGUAGUCAACCAACAAUCUUGUUGUUUAUUGGUUCCUCGAUUAAAUUUGUCAAUUGAAGUAAUGCCGCAUUGGUUGUUCUUUUGUAGGAUAAUAAGAUCAAUGGUACUGGGAAGAGAGAAGAGAGCCAGAGGAGUAGG